AAGUCGUAACAAGGUUUCCGUAGGUGAACCUGCGGAAGGAUCAGCACCACGUACCCCUGUGAACUUUUAUACUUGCUCUCUAGCCCGCCAUUGCAAUCCUUGGUAUAUCAUUGUUGAACAGAUUUUGAUUCAGGGACCUCAGUCUGGUAGGCGAAGAUCGAGCGAUCGUUGCAAGUGGCCUGGUUUCCCCAAGCAGUCAGUGUCUGGAAGUGUCAUUGAUUGUGUAAGGAUAACGCUUUUCGAUCACUAGAGGCCGAACACCGGCCGGUGACCAGGUCGCCGUGGCUUCGGCCCCCUAUAUUAACCCCACUACCUGAACUCGCCUCGUAGGAAACUGCUGGGCAACAAAACGAACAACUGUUAACAAUGGAUAUCUUGGUUCUC
RNAcentral lists this unclassified non-coding RNA (384 nucleotides) under fungal sp. RNAcentral's name for it is "partial internal transcribed spacer region". The stretch from base 1 to 46 matches the Rfam family "Eukaryotic small subunit ribosomal RNA", at positions 1786 to 1831 of the family's 1831-position model. The record is from RNAcentral. Lineage: Eukaryota; Fungi.